ACGUAGGAUGCGAGCGUUGUCCGGAUUCACUGGGUGUAAAGGGAGCGCAGGCGGGUUGGUAAGUCGGUGGUGAAAUCCUCAGGCUUAACCUGAGAACUGCCACCGAUACUGUUAAUCUUGAGUGUGGAAGAGGCCGAUGGAAUUCCUGGUGUAGCGGUGAAAUGCGUAGAUAUCAGGAAGAACACCGAUGGCGAAGGCAGUCGGCUGGUCCAUUACUGACGCUCAUGCUCGAAAGCGUGGGGAUCAAACAGGAUUAGAUACCCUGGUAGUCCACGCCCUAAACGAUGGAUGCUCGAUGUCGGCCCGCAAGGGUCGGUGUCUCAGCUAACGCUUUAAGCAUCCCACCUGGGAAGUACGAUCGCAAGGUUG
Molecule: ribosomal RNA, 369 nt
Filed under: uncultured bacterium
Lineage: Bacteria
Description: bacterial SSU rRNA
Rfam family: Bacterial small subunit ribosomal RNA
Source: RNAcentral